This 2901-nucleotide ribosomal RNA is filed under the name Klebsiella quasipneumoniae. RNAcentral describes it as "23S ribosomal RNA". It matches the Rfam family "Bacterial large subunit ribosomal RNA". Lineage: Bacteria; Pseudomonadati; Pseudomonadota; Gammaproteobacteria; Enterobacterales; Enterobacteriaceae. The record is from RNAcentral.
UUAAGCGACUAAGCGUACACGGUGGAUGCCCUGGCAGUCAGAGGCGAUGAAGGACGUGCUAAUCUGCGAAAAGCGUCGGUAAGGUGAUAUGAACCGUUAUAACCGGCGAUGUCCGAAUGGGGAAACCCAGUGUGAUUCGUCACACUAUCGUUAACUGAAUACAUAGGUUAACGAGGCGAACCGGGGGAACUGAAACAUCUAAGUACCCCGAGGAAAAGAAAUCAACCGAGAUUCCCCCAGUAGCGGCGAGCGAACGGGGAGCAGCCCAGAGUCUGAAUCAGCUUGUGUGUUAGUGGAACGGUCUGGAAAGUCCGACGGUACAGGGUGAUAGUCCCGUACACCAAAAUGCACAGGCUGUGAACUCGAAGAGUAGGGCGGGACACGUGGUAUCCUGUCUGAAUAUGGGGGGACCAUCCUCCAAGGCUAAAUACUCCUGACUGACCGAUAGUGAACCAGUACCGUGAGGGAAAGGCGAAAAGAACCCCGGCGAGGGGAGUGAAAAAGAACCUGAAACCGUGUACGUACAAGCAGUGGGAGCACCUUUAUGGUGUGACUGCGUACCUUUUGUAUAAUGGGUCAGCGACUUAUAUUCUGUAGCAAGGUUAACCGUAUAGGGGAGCCGCAGGGAAACCGAGUCUUAACUGGGCGUUAAGUUGCAGGGUAUAGACCCGAAACCCGGUGAUCUAGCCAUGGGCAGGUUGAAGGUUGGGUAACACUAACUGGAGGACCGAACCGACUAAUGUUGAAAAAUUAGCGGAUGACUUGUGGCUGGGGGUGAAAGGCCAAUCAAACCGGGAGAUAGCUGGUUCUCCCCGAAAGCUAUUUAGGUAGCGCCUCGUGAACUCAUCUUCGGGGGUAGAGCACUGUUUCGGCUAGGGGGUCAUCCCGACUUACCAACCCGAUGCAAACUACGAAUACCGAAGAAUGUUAUCACGGGAGACACACGGCGGGUGCUAACGUCCGUCGUGAAGAGGGAAACAACCCAGACCGCCAGCUAAGGUCCCAAAGUCAUGGUUAAGUGGGAAACGAUGUGGGAAGGCACAGACAGCCAGGAUGUUGGCUUAGAAGCAGCCAUCAUUUAAAGAAAGCGUAAUAGCUCACUGGUCGAGUCGGCCUGCGCGGAAGAUGUAACGGGGCUAAACCAUGCACCGAAGCUGCGGCAGCGACACUAUGUGUUGUUGGGUAGGGGAGCGUUCUGUAAGCCUGCGAAGGUGACCUGUGAGGGUUGCUGGAGGUAUCAGAAGUGCGAAUGCUGACAUAAGUAACGAUAAAGCGGGUGAAAAGCCCGCUCGCCGGAAGACCAAGGGUUCCUGUCCAACGUUAAUCGGGGCAGGGUGAGUCGACCCCUAAGGCGAGGCCGAAAGGCGUAGUCGAUGGGAAACAGGUUAAUAUUCCUGUACUUGGUGUUACUGCGAAGGGGGGACGGAGAAGGCUAUGUUAGCCGGGCGACGGUUGUCCCGGUUUAAGCAUGUAGGCUGGUUAUCCAGGCAAAUCCGGAUAAUCAAGGCUGAGGUGUGAUGACGAGGCACUACGGUGCUGAAGUAACAAAUGCCCUGCUUCCAGGAAAAGCCUCUAAGCAUCAGGUAACAUCAAAUCGUACCCCAAACCGACACAGGUGGUCAGGUAGAGAAUACCAAGGCGCUUGAGAGAACUCGGGUGAAGGAACUAGGCAAAAUGGUGCCGUAACUUCGGGAGAAGGCACGCUGGUGUGUAGGUGAAGUCCCUGCGGAUGGAGCUGAGACCAGUCGAAGAUACCAGCUGGCUGCAACUGUUUAUUAAAAACACAGCACUGUGCAAACACGAAAGUGGACGUAUACGGUGUGACGCCUGCCCGGUGCCGGAAGGUUAAUUGAUGGGGUUAUCCGUAAGGAGAAGCUCUUGAUCGAAGCCCCGGUAAACGGCGGCCGUAACUAUAACGGUCCUAAGGUAGCGAAAUUCCUUGUCGGGUAAGUUCCGACCUGCACGAAUGGCGUAAUGAUGGCCAGGCUGUCUCCACCCGAGACUCAGUGAAAUUGAACUCGCUGUGAAGAUGCAGUGUACCCGCGGCAAGACGGAAAGACCCCGUGAACCUUUACUAUAGCUUGACACUGAACAUUGAGCCUUGAUGUGUAGGAUAGGUGGGAGGCUUUGAAGCGUGGACGCCAGUCUGCGUGGAGCCAACCUUGAAAUACCACCCUUUAAUGUUUGAUGUUCUAACGUUGGCCCCUUACCGGGGUUGCGGACAGUGUCUGGUGGGUAGUUUGACUGGGGCGGUCUCCUCCCAAAGCGUAACGGAGGAGCACGAAGGUUAGCUAAUCCUGGUCGGACAUCAGGAGGUUAGUGCAAUGGCAUAAGCUAGCUUGACUGCGAGCGUGACGGCGCGAGCAGGUGCGAAAGCAGGUCAUAGUGAUCCGGUGGUUCUGAAUGGAAGGGCCAUCGCUCAACGGAUAAAAGGUACUCCGGGGAUAACAGGCUGAUACCGCCCAAGAGUUCAUAUCGACGGCGGUGUUUGGCACCUCGAUGUCGGCUCAUCACAUCCUGGGGCUGAAGUAGGUCCCAAGGGUAUGGCUGUUCGCCAUUUAAAGUGGUACGCGAGCUGGGUUUAGAACGUCGUGAGACAGUUCGGUCCCUAUCUGCCGUGGGCGCUGGAGAAUUGAGGGGGGCUGCUCCUAGUACGAGAGGACCGGAGUGGACGCAUCACUGGUGUUCGGGUUGUCAUGCCAAUGGCACUGCCCGGUAGCUAAAUGCGGAAGAGAUAAGUGCUGAAAGCAUCUAAGCACGAAACUUGCCCCGAGAUGAGUUCUCCCUGAGACUUUAAGUCUCCUGAAGGAACGUUGAAGACGACGACGUUGAUAGGCCGGGUGUGUAAGCGCAGCGAUGCGUUGAGCUAACCGGUACUAAUGAACCGUGAGGCUUAACCUU